UAAGAGUGAUGAAGCGAGAGGUUGCCACUAUAAAGUGGGUUUUCACGCAGAAUGAUGUCCAGUUCAAGAAACGGGCGACAA
Molecule: non-coding RNA, 81 nt
Organism: Clostridiales bacterium GWE2_32_10
Lineage: Bacteria; Bacillati; Bacillota; Clostridia; Eubacteriales
Source: Rfam